CAGGCAGGAAUGAGGGAACAGGAUGAGGGACAGGGAGCAGGCGGGGAGCAGACAGGGAUGAGGGAGCAGGAGCAGGCAGGUAUGAGGGGACAGGGCUGGGCAGGCAGGGUGGCUGCUCCUCCUCACGGAUCCUUUCUCUUGGAUGAGCCUGCCCUGGAGGCCCCAGCAGGAGAGGGGAUGCUCCUGCAGUGUGGGAACCACGGAUGCUCCCACUUGAGCUGGCUUAGGGCUUUGCAGUCCAGUCUGGGGCAUCAAAGCAGUGGCUGUGCUUUGGUACUGGGAUAGGAGCUGGAAACCAGUUUGUGACAGAGCUGAGCCAUGGGCAUUCAGGAGGGGACCAAGGAUACAGAAAGGAGCGUGGUGGAGCCAGGGAAGCCCAGCUCCCAGGAACCACUGCAAUGCUUCCAUCUCUGAGCCUGCCUCUUUUUCCAUAUGGUUUCCACACUGGGUUGUGUUUGAGCAGCGCCAGAGAGCCCAGUUCAUUCCUGGUGCUGUCCCAGAAGAACAGCCAGCCUGGCAGAUGUGGCUGUGAUAAACUCUGAGCUGACUAAUUUGGCAAGCCAGUCAAAUCUGCCAAUGUCCUUGGCAACACAGGAGCACCUUUCCAACAAGAAUCCAUUCUGGAUCCAUCCCCAGCCUCAGCAGAGGUCAUUUCAGGCUUGGCUGAGCUUCUUUCCUCCUGAGGGGAUGUUUGCCAGCAUCUCGGAAAUGGCACUGGUGGGAUCUGCAGCCCCAGCACUGCACUGUCAGCCGAGGACCUGCAGCUUGGAGCAGCAAAUCCCUCCUGCAGCAGGAUAAGGAUGGAUGAUGUGGGAGCAUGUGGAAAUCUGGCAAUGGAUUCAUUGAGCCUAACACAGCUUUCCAAAGGUCUGACCCUUUGUCUCCCUGGAUCCCUGGGAGUGUGUGGACAUCUCUGAUGCUGAGAUCAAAGAGCCUGUGCUCAUCCAGAGGACUGGAAGCACGUGGUGGAAGGGAUGCAGGCACAAAGCACUCUGCACUCUCAGCACAACCCUUCCCUUGCUGUGUGGACAAAGCACACACACACACAAGAGCAGUAAAGCUAUGGGUAGCACCUGUCCGUUUUCCAGAGGGGAAAACUUCCAGACUGCUCUGCUGGGUGAUAUUCUGCAGACAUUUAGCAGGAGCUAAAUCCAGCUGGGAUUUAGCAAGGUCUGAUGCCUCCCCCACUCUCUGGACUGUCACAGUCAAGGCAACGUGUCUUCCUGGGCUGAUCAGGGAAAGUGUCAGGGACCUCACAGCCAACACUGACAGGCCAGGGCUUCUCUCACUCUGCUGUGUUUCACUAAUUGCACCUCUCCCUAAUUAAAAAUCAGUGAUGUGGCUUUGGCAGCUGCAAGUGAGGUCCCCCAGGCGAGCCCGGGGCAGAGGUUGGGAGGUGGAGAAGGAAUGGAGCCAUCCUGGAGUCUGGUACAUCCCCUGCCAUGGUCGGGUGCUGCAGAGGAGCCAAACAUCCAGGAGAGUCCUCCUGAGGAGGCACAAAAUCAGAGCCCACCUUGCCAGAGACGUGGGGCAGCCGAGGGUGUCCUGGGCUGUGGUUGAGCAGGUGUAAAAUGCUCCGUGCCAGCUGCAAAGUCCCUUUCCAGGUGACAGUGGUGGCUCCAGUGCCACGUGGAGCUGGCAGCUGGGGCUCUGCAGCAGAGGCAGCAAACGCAGGGUGCUCUGGUGAGCUGGGCACUCUCUGCCUCUCCCAGGGGACAGGAAGGGCCAACUCACUGCCAGGCACUUAAAAUCAGACAAAAUAAAAGCUGGAUGAUCUAUAGUGCACGUUCCUCUUGGCUUGUUGGUUGCUGUUCUAUCAGCUCUUUUUCCUUCCUUAUUUCCACACAAGGAAAAGAGUUUUGUUUCAGGUGUCUUCCCACGGGAUAACAGCCUCUCCAAGCAAACUCACCCUGGGUGAAAGCAGGAGGAGCAGCCAGUCAGCAGCACCAAUGCACAAUGUCAGCAGCUCCAGGGUGAUUUCAUUAACGAGCUCCUGUGCUCUCGCUGCAUCAGUGCAGGCUCACAGGCAGCAGAGAGUGUUCCAGUCCCCUGCCACCUUCCACUAGGCCAGGCUGCUCCAAGCUCCAUCCAACCUGGCCUUUUCAUACUUGUACCUGCCCAGUUUGGAAAUCCAUGGCUGAGGGGGGUGUCUGUCUGUCGGGAUGUCAGAUAAGGACAGGACAGGUGAUGCUUUUGUUACCCAGGGAGCUCUAAGUGGGUCCUACAGCUCACCUAGGGGCUGCUACAGUGAGGUCUUGGCAGAGGGUGAGCUGCACAGCAGCCAUUUCAAGGGAUGAAACAGGGAGGGUCUAGGAGAGGCAGGACACUCUAAUCUCUGCUGGACAUGGAAAUCUUCCAGGAAAUGGUGAGCAGAAUUUGGAGAGUGGCUGGAAGCCUUCAGUGUGGUGGUCUACAAGAGAGCUGGAGAGGGACUUUGGGCCUGGAAUGACAGGACAAGAGCAAAUGGCUUCAAACUAACAAUGGGCAGGGUUAGUUGGGAUAUUGGAAAGAAAUUCUUGACUGUGAGACCCUGGCAGAGGUAGCCAGAGGAGCUGUGGCUGCCCAGGCAGUGUCCAAGGCCAGGCUGGAUAGGGCUGGUCCAGUGUAAGGUGUCCCUGCCCAUGGCAGGGGGUUGGAACGAGAUGAUUUUUAAGGUCCCUUCCAACCCAAAUCUCCCCAGGGAAACAGGGAGGAUGGUGCCCAGCUCCCCUCUCUGGCCCACAGCCAGGGAGGACUUGCAGAUGGAAAGCUCCUGGCUGGAGCUGGCUGCUGCUGAUGGGCUAAUAAUACCCCUGGGAGAAGGUCAGGUGGGCAGCAGCACGGGCAGCUCCCAUUUCAGCCUGCCACACAUCACCCUCAGCUGCCAGAGCCUCCAGAAAAUUUUGGGAUGUCUUAGAGGAGAGCUGGCAGUGCCACCCUCUUCCAUUGGUGGAUUUCCAGGGGGAUGGCAGCAGGUGGCUGCCAGUGGUUACCUGCACCAUGGCACAGAGAAUUUAACCCCCAGCACCAUCCCUUCCCUGCAUCCCCCAGGUCACUACAGCCUCCCCUGCUUCCCCAUCCUAGCAGGAGCUGGCUGCCACCGGGCAGGCCACCGUGCUGUCCCACGGCCACAAAUGUCCCAGCAGAGAGGGUUUUUCUUGCUGAAAAGCUGCUUAGCAGCUUAUGGAAACAAUAAAAGUAGUAUUAUCUUCAGUGGUGAGGCAGAUGGUUUGGAUGAUUGGUUUGACUUUUAAGCUGGAUUUGAGCUACGGAUAUUCUGAUUUUUAAGAAUUUUUGGCUGGUCAGACUCUGGCGGCGUAAUCCCCAGAUUCCUGCUCCCAUAAAUCCACUCCUCUCUGUGCUGGGGGCUCUGGGAUGGACACCUGCCCUGGGAGGGGCCUUCAGACACCUGCAGGUGAGGGGGGCACCCAGACCCCCCCACCUGGGCUGGCAGCCACCAAGAGCCACCCUUGUCCCCCCGACCUUAGGGGGACAAUCCCCUCUCUGCUCCCAUCCUGCGUGGGCAGCUCUGCAAAUCCAGGGCUGGCAGGAGCCCAGGCCUGAGCUUCUCCCCGCAACGUUGUCUUUUGCAGAAGGAUUUGUUUACUUUUUCUCCUAAUUAUCAGGAGCUGUGGACUUCCUGCCACCAUCUGAGGGCUGGUAGCAGCCCUCAGUGCUCCUUCUCCUGACAGAGCCUGUUCCUGCUGUCACCCCCGCAGCUGGUGUCAGUGUGCAGUGCUCAGAGAUGACAUCCUGCCCAGCAGGACGUGGCCAGGGGUCUUCUCCAUUCCAUCCCUCCUGCAGCAGGGACCCCCAGCCCCCCAGGAAUCCCUCCAGGGCUGAGGGAUCUGCCUCACUCCAGGACCCCCAAGCAGCCCCUGGGGUUGCCCUGUAGCCAGGGCUUUGGGAAAGAAGGGAUUUGGGAAUGAAAUCAGUGGGGUUGGGGAAGGCUCCUGUUGGGGCAGCUCCAGACAAAUAAAAUCCAUGUCUGGGGGCUCGUGGUUAACCCUUUGCUGAGGGACAUGCAGCAGUGCCUCAGGUGAUGAAUUACCUGCCCCAAACCCUGCAGCUGCCCCACCUGAGAAGAGCCAUCACAUCCAGAACAUCCUGUGUGUUAGAAUGGUUUUUAUUUAGCAGAUCUCCAGAGCAUGAAAAUAAAACUCCCAUAAAACAAG
Long non-coding RNA from Onychostruthus taczanowskii (white-rumped snowfinch), 4154 nucleotides. RefSeq lists it as uncharacterized. The record is from RefSeq and is a predicted model, not a curated record. The transcript is spliced from 2 exons. NCBI's taxonomy places the organism in Eukaryota, Metazoa, Chordata, Aves, Passeriformes, Passeridae.